RNAcentral lists this transfer RNA (65 nucleotides) under Platycorynus sp. N26. RNAcentral describes it as "tRNA-Ala". It matches the Rfam family "tRNA". From Rfam's summary of the family: Transfer RNA (tRNA) molecules are approximately 80 nucleotides in length. Lineage: Eukaryota; Metazoa; Arthropoda; Insecta; Coleoptera; Chrysomelidae. The record is from RNAcentral.
UAGGAUAAUAGUUAAAUAUAACAUUUAAUUUGCACUUAAAAAAUAUUGAUUAAUCAAUUUAUCUU